Molecule: unclassified non-coding RNA, 1774 nt
Filed under: Octopus sinensis (East Asian common octopus)
Lineage: Eukaryota; Metazoa; Mollusca; Cephalopoda; Octopoda; Octopodidae
Description: uncharacterized LOC118764541, transcript variant X1
Source: RNAcentral
CCAACCACUUCCUAUUCGUUUCUAUUAACAUUUUUUUUUUUUUGUUUUUAGUAACACUGUUGAUUUGAAACGAAAACAUGAUACUAAAAGGAAUAUCGCUUUAAAAGUAUUAAUUUCACUGUGAACAUUUCUAUACAUUUGAAAUAAUAACGAGGCCAAUUCAAUGGACAUGCAUUAAUUCACGCACGGACACUUUUUAUACCAUACUCUUGAUUGUUUUUGUCUGCUAUAUUUACUGCAAAGAAAACUAUCUGGACAACAUAAGCUGUUUAUGUUCAUAAAUAUAUUUACGAAUUCACCACUGAUUGCCCUUGCUGGAGUUUGUUUACCUGCCAUAUUCAAGUAGUAACAAAAAAAAAAAAUUACUGAGUAGGUUGCAUGGGCAAAGUUAUUUCCGUGAAAUAGCGAAACGGUUGGUGCGCAUAUGAAACCCAUACAAAGCAGUCGAGGAAAUGAAAAAACUUAAACACACUUGCUUAGAUAUAAAGAACAGUUGCUACAUUAUAUAGAUUUUAUUGCAAGUUAUUUAUUUGAAAUUUUUUCGAUUGUUGAUUUGGUGAAUACAUCAGAAAAAAAAAACCUCUACAUUUUGUUUCGCUGUACAUUUUGUGAUAUAGUUACCACCGACAACCAUGUUAGCUGACCCUGUGGAGACUGUCGGACAUUUGAGUUUCACCACUCGACCAAAGCGUCUUAGAAUUUGUGGUGAUGGCAGUACCUACAAUCAUCGACAUAACGAUGUUAGCGGAUCUGGUUGUAAAACCUUAGAAUUACAGGGUGUUAUUGAUCUUCUCAAACAAUACGAUGACUACGAAGGUGGCGUCAACUGCAGUAUUUGCGGUAAACUCUACAAGAGCAAAGUAUGUUUCAUUAAGCACAUUUGGGAACACAGCAUCUACUGGGACCUCUUUGAAGGUGAAAAGAACCACGAUAGAGUCCUUUCCAUACAGGCAGCUAUCAUCCUUUACAGUAAAUACCAAGGAGAACCGACAGCCGACGGGUUGCUGUCCCACCUGUUGGUCACAGCUCCUAACAGCCACGAAAAGAAACGAGAGAAAGAGUCUCUUGAGCAGUGCGAAAUGAAAGCUUCAAAGGCGAAAACAGAGAAGAGGACAUUGUCUCCUUUGAAACGAAAGAAGUCCUUUGAAGAUUUGUAAGUAACAGCCAUAGAGUAAUUUUUCAAUUUAAGGUAAAUGGGAAAAAUUUGAAGGAAAAUUGUUUGUUGAAAACAACUGUUGGCUGAUGGAUUAAAUUAUCUGUCAGCAUUUUUGUCCCUUUUUUUUUCUGAAUUUUCAUAUAAUUUUUCAUCCCUCUGGGAUUAAAAUGAAUACCGGUGGUAAUGUAUUAGUCAAUUCAAUUGACUAUGCUAAGUUAACCUUUUUUUUUCUUGAGUAAAUAGUUUCUGAUCAGGAUGCCCACAUAAGUUGGAAUUUUUCUGUUUUGAUGGGGAUUUUUCAGAUUUUUUUUUCUCCUUCUUGACAACACCCUUGGAAAUGAUCUUUUGAGCAAAAAGAAGAAGAAACGUCCCCCAUCAUUUCCAAGAGUUUUGGUUAAAAACAAAUCUGAAAAAUACCUGGCAAAACGGAGAAAUUCCACUUACAUAGGUAUCCUGAUCCGAAACUCCAUCCCCAAGUUUCAUUAAUACCAAAACAAUCAAAAACCACUAAAACUACACUAUCAUUACAUUUUUACCAUGAAAACCACACCAUCACUGCAAUCAAAACUAUAUUCUAUCGCUACCUUAUCAUCUUCAUGAAUGAAGACUUCUAUGAAA